This 256-nucleotide ribosomal RNA is filed under the name uncultured bacterium. RNAcentral describes it as "partial small subunit ribosomal RNA". It matches the Rfam family "Bacterial small subunit ribosomal RNA", at positions 26 to 285 of the family's 1533-position model. The record is from RNAcentral.
AGGACGAACGCUGGCGGCGUGCUUAACACGUGCAAGUCGAGCGGAAAGGCCCUUCGGGGUACUCGAGCGGCGAACGGGUGAGUAACACGUGAGUAAUCUGCCUUCAGCUCUGGGAUAGCUACCGGGGAAACCGGGAUUAAUACCGGAUAUGACCACUUCGGACAUCUGUUGUGGUGGAAAGUUUUUCGGCUGGAGAUGAGCUCGCGGCCUAUCAGCUUGUUGGUGGGGUAAAGGCCUACCAAGGCGACGACGGGUA